This 1315-nucleotide long non-coding RNA is filed under the name Nicotiana benthamiana. Its description in RNAcentral is "long non-coding RNA (NBEN_LNC025125)". The record is from RNAcentral. Lineage: Eukaryota; Viridiplantae; Streptophyta; Magnoliopsida; Solanales; Solanaceae.
UGCUUUUUGAACUAAUUUUAUAUUUUCCUUUUCCUUCUAAUUACUUAUUUAUCAGUUUAAUCAAGUAGACUUAUUUUGAAUGUUGAAUGAAUCGCAUCAGGUUCAACCCAUUGUUGAUGAUGUUCGUAAUAGAGGUGAUGCUGCAGUUAAAGAGUUAGUGCCUGUUCAAUAUUAUGCCUUAGUUGCAGUGUUUGUUUCAUCAACAAUUCUUACCCUGUAUCUGUUAUGGUCAAAUCCCCUUGUUUUCCACCUCCCUUACCAUAAGAAUGCAGAACAUGUAUUUACCUUUAACGAUUUAGGGGGAAAAAUAGAAUGCAGAACAUGUGUUAUUGAUCCAAGAAGUGCCUGUUUGAUAUUAUGCCUUAGUUGCAGAGUUUGUUUCAUCAACAAUUCUUACCCUGUAUCUGUUAUGUGAAAAUCCCCUUAUUUUCCACCUUCCUUACCAUAAGAAUGCAGAACAUGUAUUUACCUAUAGCGAUUUAAGGGGGAAAAAUAGAAUGCAGAACAUGUGUUAUUGAUCCACAUCAAAGGCCAAAGAUAUGCUCCAAAUGGAGGUGUUAGACUGUAUAAUAGUAAUGAAUAGUGUGAAGGGCAUCUCUUCUAGCACAUUAUAUUGUAGAAAAUUAUGUUGGGUUCUCAUUCCUCUUGCAUGGACCAAAAUUAUCUGAAUAUUAAUUGACAUUAAGAUGAGCUUUAUCACAUAUUCACACUCCACAUUUCUAUCUCUGAUCCAGUGCUCUUAAAAGCGAAAAACGAAAAGAAGCGACAAGGUUCCGCAUAGCAGAUCCAACUUGGUGACCUUUGUGUCUUUGCAACUAUAAACCUAAACAUAAAAUAUGAUUCUUGUGCCUAUUAUUAGAUGCUCUCUCUCCCUCUUUUUUUAAUUAGCUUAGGCAACAUUGUAGCAACAUUUCAAACUACUUCCUGUGUAUCUACUUUUUAGAAUACUUUUAUUAAUUAAUGCUAAUAAUUCAGUUUCAACCAAAGAUGAAGGUUUGCUACCGUGCUUUUGCAGCUUGUUUUUACUCUUUUUGUAACUGAUUCUUAUCAACUUUAGUUGCCAGUUUUUCAAUUGCUGGACAAACUAAGUUCAAACUUUCAAACCUUCAGAAUAUCCCUAAGUUUAGAUUGAAUAGUUAUGGAACUUACAAAAAUCUUCAGUUUUUUUGCUCCUUGUCGGCUUGUCCAUCACAUAUCGUUCUUUCAGAGUUAAUAGUUCCAUUUGAAAGUAAAAGAUGCCACUAUAGAAAAGUUAACAUGUCUUUUUAUUUUGAUGUUACUUUGGUAUGAUGUCUAUAACUUCCUGGGCAGUUAC